Molecule: long non-coding RNA, 437 nt
Organism: Pezoporus flaviventris
Lineage: Eukaryota; Metazoa; Chordata; Aves; Psittaciformes; Psittacidae
Exons: 3
Source: RefSeq, a predicted model, not a curated record
UCUAGUUGUAUCUGCUUUGAGCAGGAAUUGGACUACAUGACUUCAAGAAGUCCCUUGCAACCUAAAUUAUCCAAUGUUCCUAUUUUUAUUUUUCCUUUUUUUGGACACCCAUUCCUGAACUUCAGGCAUUUCAAUUACUUUCAGUUACUUUCAAGAUCUAAGCAAAUAUCAACCUUUCUUUCCCUUUUCAGAAAGAUGGAACAACUUCAGAUUCCACUCCAGUCCAUAGAAAGCAAUGACAGAUUGAAAACAAGGAUGGGUCUGCUGUUUUUUACAGGGCAGGAAGACUGGAAGCCCUAGGAAGUUUGGACCUUACACUGACAGCUGCACUGAGAAAGACUCCGAUAAAGAAAAGGAAGGGAAUUAACAGCCAGUGGACACUCACAAUCAGCCUGAUGUUCUUGCCCAUCUUUUUGCAGGUCUGUUCACUAGAGAGU